AUACGGAGGGUGCGAGCGUUGUCCGGAAUCACUGGGCGUAAAGGGCGCGUAGGCGGCCCGUUAAGUGGCUGGUGAAAUCCCGGGGCUCAACUCCGGGGCUGCCGGUCAGACUGGCGAGCUAGAGCACGGUAGGGGCAGAUGGAAUUCCCGGUGUAGCGGUGGAAUGCGUAGAGAUCGGGAAGAAUACCAGUGGCGAAGGCGUUCUGCUGGGCCGUUGCUGACGCUGAGGCGCGACAGCGUGGGGAGCAAACAGG
Molecule: ribosomal RNA, 254 nt
Filed under: uncultured prokaryote
Description: partial 16S ribosomal RNA
Rfam family: Bacterial small subunit ribosomal RNA
Source: RNAcentral